GAGUUUGAUCAUGGCUCAGGAUGAAUGCUGGCGGCAUGCCUAAUACAUGCAAGUCGAGCGGUAACAGGACUAGCUUGCUAGUUGCUGACGAGCGGCGGACGGCUGAGUAACGCAUGGGAACGCACCCCAAACUGAGGGAUAACUAGUCGAAAGAUUAGCUAAUACCGCAUGUGAUCUUCGGAUUAAAGCCUUCGGGCGGUUUGGGAGCGGCCUGUGUACGAUUAGAUAGUUGGUGAGGUAAUGGCUCACCAAGUCGACGAUCGUUAGAUGGUUUGAGAGGAUGAUCAUCCAGACUGGAACUGAGACACGGUCCAGACUCCUACGGGAGGCAGCAGUAGGGAAUCUUUCACAAUGGGCGAAAGCCUGAUGGAGCCAAUGCCGCGUGCAGGACGAAGGCCUUCGGGUUGUAAACUGCUUUUAUAAGCGAGGAAUAUGACGGUAACUUAUGAAUAAGGAUCGGCUAACUACGUGCCAGCAGCAGC
Molecule: ribosomal RNA, 482 nt
Filed under: uncultured bacterium
Lineage: Bacteria
Description: bacterial SSU rRNA
Rfam family: Bacterial small subunit ribosomal RNA
Source: RNAcentral